Molecule: ribosomal RNA, 434 nt
Filed under: uncultured Clostridium sp.
Lineage: Bacteria; Bacillati; Bacillota; Clostridia; Eubacteriales; Clostridiaceae
Also listed under: 1 other name
Description: partial 16S ribosomal RNA
Rfam family: Bacterial small subunit ribosomal RNA
Source: RNAcentral
ACGGGAGGCAGCAGUGGGGAAUAUUGCACAAUGGGGGAAACCCUGAUGCAGCGACGCCGCGUGAGUGAAGAAGUAUUUCGGUAUGUAAAGCUCUAUCAGCAGGGAAGAUGAUGACGGUACCUGACUAAGAAGCCCCGGCUAACUACGUGCCAGCAGCCGCGGUAAUACGUAGGGGGCAAGCGUUAUCCGGAUUUACUGGGUGUAAAGGGAGCGUAGGCGGCCGCGCAAGUCAGGUGUGAAAACCCGGGGCUUAACUCCGGGACUGCACUUGAAACUGUGAGGCUGGAGUACGGGAGAGGCAAGUGGAAUUCCUAGUGUAGCGGUGAAAUGCGUAGAUAUUAGGAAGAACACCAGUGGCGAAGGCGACUUGCUGGACCGCAACUGACGCUGAGGCUCGAAAGCGUGGGGAGCAAACAGGAUUAGAUACCCUGGUA